GGGUCUGUAGCUCAGGGGUUAGAGCAGUCGGCUCAUAACCGAUUGGCCGGUGGUUCGAACCCACCCAGGCCCA
RNAcentral lists this transfer RNA (73 nucleotides) under Candidatus Peribacteria bacterium. RNAcentral's name for it is "tRNA-Ile". It matches the Rfam family "tRNA". Rfam says of the family: Transfer RNA (tRNA) molecules are approximately 80 nucleotides in length. Their secondary structure includes four short double-helical elements and three loops (D, anti-codon, and T loops). Further hydrogen bonds mediate the characteristic L-shaped molecular structure. tRNAs have two regions of fundamental functional importance: the anti-codon, which is responsible for specific mRNA codon recognition, and the 3' end, to which the tRNAs corresponding amino acid is attached (by aminoacyl-tRNA synthetases). tRNAs cope with the degeneracy of the genetic code in two manners: having more than one tRNA (with a specific anti-codon) for a particular amino acid; and 'wobble' base-pairing, i.e. permitting non-standard base-pairing at the 3rd anti-codon position. Lineage: Bacteria; Candidatus Peregrinibacteriota; Candidatus Peribacteria. The record is from RNAcentral.